Molecule: transfer RNA, 74 nt
Filed under: Lachnospiraceae bacterium
Lineage: Bacteria; Bacillati; Bacillota; Clostridia; Lachnospirales; Lachnospiraceae
Description: tRNA-Pro
Rfam family: tRNA
About the family: Transfer RNA (tRNA) molecules are approximately 80 nucleotides in length. Their secondary structure includes four short double-helical elements and three loops (D, anti-codon, and T loops).
Source: RNAcentral
CGGGAUGUAGCGAAACUUGGUAUCGCGCUUGGAUGGGGGCCAAGAGAUUGCAGGUUCAAAUCCUGUCAUUCCGA